This 75-nucleotide transfer RNA is filed under the name Myxococcales bacterium. Its description in RNAcentral is "tRNA-Leu". It matches the Rfam family "tRNA". From Rfam's summary of the family: Transfer RNA (tRNA) molecules are approximately 80 nucleotides in length. Their secondary structure includes four short double-helical elements and three loops (D, anti-codon, and T loops). Further hydrogen bonds mediate the characteristic L-shaped molecular structure. tRNAs have two regions of fundamental functional importance: the anti-codon, which is responsible for specific mRNA codon recognition, and the 3' end, to which the tRNAs corresponding amino acid is attached (by aminoacyl-tRNA synthetases). tRNAs cope with the degeneracy of the genetic code in two manners: having more than one tRNA (with a specific anti-codon) for a particular amino acid; and 'wobble' base-pairing, i.e. permitting non-standard base-pairing at the 3rd anti-codon position. Lineage: Bacteria; Pseudomonadati; Myxococcota; Myxococcia; Myxococcales. The record is from RNAcentral.
GGACGGGUAGCCCAACUCGGUAGAGGCGCGUGCUCGAGAGCCACGAUGUUGAGGGUUCGAUCCCCUCCCCGUCCA